RNAcentral lists this ribosomal RNA (167 nucleotides) under uncultured bacterium. RNAcentral describes it as "partial 16S ribosomal RNA". It matches the Rfam family "Bacterial small subunit ribosomal RNA", at positions 355 to 514 of the family's 1533-position model. The record is from RNAcentral.
UAGGGAAUCUUCCACAAUGGGCGCAAGCCUGAUGGAGCAACACCGCGUGAGUGAAGAAGGGUUUCGGCUCGUAAAGCUCUGUUGUUAAAGAAGAACACGUAUGAGAGUAACUGUUCAUACGUUGACGGUAUUUAACCAGAAAGUCACGGCUAACUACGUGCCNGCAG